GGGAGCCGGCGGGCGGCCGUGGUGGUUGUCGGUGGCGGCGUCGCCGGCGCGCUCAUCGCCAGCUCCCUCCAGAGCUAUGCCGACGUCGUCAUAAUCGACCCGAAAGAGUACCUUGAAAUUCCAUGGACUAACAUGAGAUCAAAGGUGGAGCCAUCUGUUGUUGAGAAAUCAUUAAUUAACCACAGUGAUUACUUGAGUGGUGAAGUCAUUUCAGCCUCUGCUACUGAUGUAAGUGGAGAGGCUGUGAUCACAGCAGAGGGUCGUUUGGUGGAGUACACAUACCUUGUCAUAGCCACAGGUCACACAAAUUAGUGUCCACGAACAAGGAGAGACAGGCUGGAACAGUUUCAAGAAGAUGACGUGAAGAUAAAAUAUUCCGAUUCGAUUCUUAUUGUUGGUGAGCCAUCAGGCGUUGAGCUUGCUGCUGAAAGAGCUGUGAAUUAUCCAGACAACAAGGUGACACUGGUUCAUGACAGACCAAGAUUGUUGGAAUCUGUUGAUCAAAAAGCUGGUGGUAAGGCACUGCUUUGGCUGAGAUCGAAGAAUGUUGAAGUUUAUUUGGAGCAGUUGAUCGAUCUAGAGUUCAUGUCAGAGGGAGAUAGGCUCUACAGGACGUCGUCGGGGAUAGAGAUAACAGCUGAUUGCUACUUCUCGUGCCUCGACAGACCACUGAGUUCUUCAUGGAUUAGAGGUUCUGAGCUGGAAGAUUGCUUGGACAAUGAUGGAAGAUUGAUGGUUGAUGCAAAUCUAAGAGUGAAAGGCCAGGUUAAUAUUUUUGCUGCUGGUGAUAUCAUUGACAUUCCGGAGCUCGAGCAAGGAUAUUUCGUGCGGAGACAUGCCAUGAUAGUCUCCAAAAACAUAAAGCUUUUGAUGCAUGGGGCUAAAGAAAGCAAGCUAUUGAAAUAUAAACAUUCGACAGCAAUGCCGAUGGUCUCACUCGGUAGAAGGAUGCCGUGGCGCAGCUAUCCUUCGCCACGGUCCGGGCACCUUCCUGCGAUGUGGAAAUCCCGGGACUUGUUCGUGCACAGAACAAGGACUCUGCUGGGGCUUCCACGGUGA
Molecule: ribosomal RNA, 1059 nt
Filed under: Triticum aestivum (bread wheat)
Lineage: Eukaryota; Viridiplantae; Streptophyta; Magnoliopsida; Poales; Poaceae
Description: partial small subunit ribosomal RNA
Source: RNAcentral